This 476-nucleotide ribosomal RNA is filed under the name uncultured bacterium. RNAcentral describes it as "partial 16S ribosomal RNA". It matches the Rfam family "Bacterial small subunit ribosomal RNA", at positions 28 to 507 of the family's 1533-position model. The record is from RNAcentral.
GACGAACGCUGGCGGCGUGCCUAAUACAUGCAAGUUGAGCGCUGAAGGUUGGUACUUGUACCAACUGGAUGAGCAGCGAACGGGUGAGUAACGCGUGGGGAAUCUGCCUUUGAGCGGGGGACAACAUUUGGAAACGAAUGCUAAUACCGCAUAAAAACUUUAAACACAAGUUUUAAGUUUGAAAGAUGCAAUUGCAUCACUCAAAGCUGAUCCCGCGUUGUAUUAGCUAGGUGGUGAGGUAAAGGCGCACAAAGGCGAUGAAAGAUAGCCGACCUGAGAGGGUGACCGGCCACAUUGGGACUGAGAGACGGCCCAGACGGCUUCGUGGGGCAGCAGUGGGGAAUAGUGCACAAUGGGCGGAAGCCUGAUGCAGCAACGCCGCGUGCGGGAUGACGGCGUUCGGGUUGGAAACCGCUUUGGCCUGGGACGAAGCGUGAGUGACGGUAAUGGGUAAAGAAGCACCGGCUAACUACGUG